This 392-nucleotide ribosomal RNA is filed under the name Smicronyx sordidus (grey sunflower seed weevil). RNAcentral describes it as "partial 16S ribosomal RNA". Lineage: Eukaryota; Metazoa; Arthropoda; Insecta; Coleoptera; Curculionidae. The record is from RNAcentral.
AAGUUUUAAAUGGCCGCAGUAUUUUGACUGUGCAAAGGUAGCAUAAUCAUUAGUUUCUUAAUUAGAAGCUUGUAUGAAAGGUUGGGUGAGAAAGUUACUGUCUCUAUUUAAAUUAAUUAGAAUUUUAUAUUUAAGUAAAAAAGCUUAAAUAUAUAUUGAAGACGAGAAGACCCUAUAGAGUUUUAUAUUAAUAUUAUUUAUAUUUUUUAGUAUCAUAAUUAUGUAUAUAAUUAAUUAUUUGAUUGGGGUGAUUAAAAAAUUUAUUAAACUUUUUUUUUAUUAUUUCAUUAAUUUAUGAAUUAUUGAUCCUUAAUUUAAGAUUAAAAGAAUAAAUUACCUUAGGGAUAACAGCGUAAUUUUUUGUAAGAGUUCUAAUCAAAAAAAAAGUUUGC